UUGCAUCAGGGGUAGCAACGACAUCCUUUUUCUGUGAAUUCAAACAAAUUCAUAGAAAAAGAUAUAGUGAAUAACCCGCCCGGAU
RNAcentral lists this small RNA (85 nucleotides) under Aquimarina atlantica. RNAcentral's name for it is "Flavo-1 RNA". It matches the Rfam family "Flavo-1 RNA". Lineage: Bacteria; Pseudomonadati; Bacteroidota; Flavobacteriia; Flavobacteriales; Flavobacteriaceae. The record is from Rfam by way of RNAcentral.